Molecule: long non-coding RNA, 742 nt
Filed under: Mytilus galloprovincialis (Mediterranean mussel)
Lineage: Eukaryota; Metazoa; Mollusca; Bivalvia; Mytilida; Mytilidae
Source: RNAcentral
GUUGAUAUUUUAUUUCUUGGCUUUGUCAAUCUCUGCAUAUAAAGCUUAUAAAUGUAAUUCUUGAGCAUUUUAAUUUGUAGAUCACCUUUAACCACAAAUCCCCAAAAAUUGGUAUCCAACUAUUAAUAAUGAAUCUGUAGUAUAUAUAUAUGUAUGAAGGUACAAAAUCCUCACUCCAUUAAACUUUCAUAUAAAAAAGAAGAUGUGGUAUGAAUGCCAAUAAGACAACUAUCCACAAAAGACCAAAAUGACAGUUUCAUGUUUUUUUCUGUGGAAUUGUUGCAAAAAAAACAAAAAAAAACAUAAUGGCUCAAUGGACCAACUUGGAUGACAUUUUCAAAUGAACAAUGAUUAAAUAAUCUUUUAAAAACUCUUUAAAUAUAUAUAAUGUAUUGCACAAAAUUUUAUUGUAGUUUUAGUUACAAAAAUGUACCGAUGAAUAAUAAUAAAAAAAUUACAUCAACAUCUUGCAGGAAAAUAUUUUUGUACAGUGGAACCUGUUUAAACCGAACCUCUUUGGGAAGAUUUUGUUCGGUUUUGGCCUAUGUUCGGUUUUAUCAGGUUCACAGUGCAUACAAUUUGAUAUGACUGUGCUUAGGAACAUGUUUGGUUUAUACAGGUUUUCGGUUAAUGCAGGAUUCGGUUUAGCCAGGUUUCACUGUAUUAUGGGGCAAGGUUGUUAAACAUUUUGAGGGCCUUAUAUAUUAUGAUACAAAUAAGAAGAUACAGAAUGAUUUCAAAU